CAGUCAUGUCUCAGUGAGAACUCAGUUCUCAUUCUGAUCACUGAUGUUAAGCAUCAUUGAACCUGGUCAGUACCUAGAUAGGUGAAUGAUUGGGAGUACCAGGUGCUGUAAG
Non-coding RNA from Acanthosepion pharaonis, 112 nucleotides. The record is from the annotation of a GenBank genome assembly. Lineage: Eukaryota; Metazoa; Mollusca; Cephalopoda; Sepiida; Sepiidae.